CCUACGGGUGGCAGCAGUGGGGAAUAUUGCACAAUGGGGGAAACCCUGAUGCAGCGACGCCGCGUGAGUGAAGAAGUAUUUCGGUAUGUAAAGCUCUAUCAGCAGGGAAGAAAAUGACGGUACCUGAGCAAGAAGCCCCGGCUAACUACGUGCCAGCAGCCGCGUUAAUACGUAGGGGGCAAGCGUUAUCCGGAUUUACUGGGUGUAAAGGGAGCGUAGACGGUAAUGCAAGUCUGGAGUGAAAGGCCGGGGCUCAACCCCUGGACUGCUGUGGAAACUGUAUGGCUGGAGUGCAGGAGGGGAAGGUGGAAUUCCUGGUGUAGCGGUGAAAUGCGUAGAUAUUAGGAGGAACACCAGUGGCGAAGGCGGCUUACUGGACUGUAACUGACGUUGAGGCUCGAAAGCGUGGGGAGCAAACAGGAUUAGAUACCCGAGUAGUC
RNAcentral lists this ribosomal RNA (440 nucleotides) under uncultured bacterium. RNAcentral describes it as "partial 16S ribosomal RNA". It matches the Rfam family "Bacterial small subunit ribosomal RNA", at positions 338 to 795 of the family's 1533-position model. The record is from RNAcentral.